This 588-nucleotide ribosomal RNA is filed under the name Triticum aestivum (bread wheat). RNAcentral describes it as "partial small subunit ribosomal RNA". Lineage: Eukaryota; Viridiplantae; Streptophyta; Magnoliopsida; Poales; Poaceae. The record is from RNAcentral.
AUGGAUUACUCUUGCUGCAACCCUCCCAGUCCUCUCACUCUCCCGCGCGGCCCUGUUGUCGUAGAAACCAAGUUCUCAGCGGGCAGGCAAUGUCCUUAUCGAUCGCCGGUCGACGGCGGAAGUCUGGCUGGCAUCACUAGAAUGAAAACGACGACCCGCCAACGUCCCACGGUGCGUGGCAUUAUUAUAGCUGAACCGCGGGCGCUGCGGAAGCUAUUUAUAGGCAACAAAAGGGAAGCGACGGUGCGCGUGCGUGACGAACUGACGACCGCGAGGAGGCAGGGAGGAGGACGACGUGCGACGAAAACGAUGGCGAGGACCACGACCAUGCGCGUGGCGACGGUGUGCAUGCUUCUGCUGCUGCUCGUCUCGACGGCCACGGCCACGGCGACGGAGCGCCCCCAGCGCCGGGACCUGGCGGAAGAGGGCACGAGCCCGGCGGCGGCGACCCCGGGUGCCGACGGCGCCCCGGCCGACAAGGAACCCCCGGAAGGCCACCUCGGCUUCCGCGUCGUCACGGGCCUCAUCGAGAAGGCUACCGGCAAGAGCGCCCGUCUGGACCUGGAGCAGGAGGAGAAAGUUCAUUAG